AUUGAACGCUGGCGGCAUGCUUUACACAUGCAAGUCGAACGGCAGCAUAGAGAGCUUGCUCUCUGAUGGCGAGUGGCGAACGGGUGAGUAAUACAUCGGAACGUGUCCGUUUGUGGGGGACAACCACCCGAAAGGGUGGCUAAUACCGCAUAAGACCUGAGGGUGAAAGCCGGGGACCGCAAGGCCUGGCGCGAACGGAGCGGCCGAUGACUGAUUAGCUGGUUGGCGGGGUAAAGGCCCACCAAGGCGACGAUCAGUAGCUGGUCUGAGAGGACGACCAGCCACACUGGAACUGAGACACGGUCCAGACUCCUACGGGAGGCAGCAGUGGGGAAUUUUGGACAAUGGGGGCAACCCUGAUCCAGCCAUGCCGCGUGCGGGAAGAAGGCCUUCGGGUUGUAAACCGCUUUUGUCAGGGACGAAAAGGUGCGGGUUAAGAGCUAGCACUGAUGACGGUACCUGAAGAAUAAGCACCGGCUAACUACGUG
This 488-nucleotide ribosomal RNA is filed under the name uncultured bacterium. Its description in RNAcentral is "bacterial SSU rRNA". It matches the Rfam family "Bacterial small subunit ribosomal RNA", at positions 29 to 507 of the family's 1533-position model. The record is from RNAcentral.